AACGUAGGUGGCGAGCGUUAUCCGGAUUCACUGGGCGUAAAGCGCCUGCAGGCGGUCUCGUAAGUGGGAUGUGAAAUCUCUUGGCUCAACUGGGAGGGGCCAUUCCAUACUGCGGGACUAGAGGGCAGAAGAGGGAAGCGGAAUUCCCGGUGUAGUGGUGAAAUGCGUAGAUAUCGGGAGGAACACCAGUGGCGAAGGCGGCUUCCUGGCCUGCUCCUGACGCUAAGAGGCGAAAGCUAGGGGAG
This 245-nucleotide ribosomal RNA is filed under the name uncultured bacterium. RNAcentral's name for it is "partial 16S ribosomal RNA". It matches the Rfam family "Bacterial small subunit ribosomal RNA", at positions 524 to 768 of the family's 1533-position model. The record is from RNAcentral.